Transfer RNA from Trachipleistophora hominis, 71 nucleotides. It matches the Rfam family "tRNA". Rfam says of the family: Transfer RNA (tRNA) molecules are approximately 80 nucleotides in length. Their secondary structure includes four short double-helical elements and three loops (D, anti-codon, and T loops). Further hydrogen bonds mediate the characteristic L-shaped molecular structure. tRNAs have two regions of fundamental functional importance: the anti-codon, which is responsible for specific mRNA codon recognition, and the 3' end, to which the tRNAs corresponding amino acid is attached (by aminoacyl-tRNA synthetases). tRNAs cope with the degeneracy of the genetic code in two manners: having more than one tRNA (with a specific anti-codon) for a particular amino acid; and 'wobble' base-pairing, i.e. permitting non-standard base-pairing at the 3rd anti-codon position. The record is from Rfam. NCBI's taxonomy places the organism in Eukaryota, Fungi, Microsporidia, Pleistophoridae.
GGCUUGUUAGUUUAACGGUAGAACGUCGCUCUCGUAAAGCGAUGGAGGGGGUUCGAUUCCCCCACAAGCCU